RNAcentral lists this transfer RNA (65 nucleotides) under Loxodonta africana (African savanna elephant). It matches the Rfam family "tRNA". From Rfam's summary of the family: Transfer RNA (tRNA) molecules are approximately 80 nucleotides in length. The record is from Rfam by way of RNAcentral. Lineage: Eukaryota; Metazoa; Chordata; Mammalia; Proboscidea; Elephantidae.
GCAUUGGUGGUUUAGUGGUAGAACUCACCAUACAGGAGACCUGGGUUCGAUUCUUGGCCAAUGCA